RNAcentral lists this long non-coding RNA (328 nucleotides) under Anser brachyrhynchus (Pink-footed goose). RNAcentral's name for it is "lncRNA (ENSABRG00000005805.1)". The record is from RNAcentral. Lineage: Eukaryota; Metazoa; Chordata; Aves; Anseriformes; Anatidae.
GAGUAGGGAGAGCUAGAGGGAACUGAAAAGAAGAGAUUGAGUUUCUAGCAGUGGAUUGAGUUGGAUGGAACAAGCUUACCAGGACCAGAAGGAGAGAGGCUGGCAUGAGCAGGAAGCUGCAGCAAGAUGGCUUGGGACCAGUUUUGAAGCUGGAAGGGAAAAAAGGCUCACAACAUUGAAAAGAGGAACUGAGAGGUCAGUGAAGACACUGCAAGGAAAGAGCCAUCUGAGAAAUCUGGAGAGGACAGAAAGCUGGUGACAACUGUCAAACUGUCAGGUGAGCAAUGCCAUGAAUAAAAUAUCCCUAACCUGGCUAUGAAAUUAUAUG